UUUUGAGAUAACCUCGAAUUAGGAGCAGUUCUACGAAAUUUUUUUAAACAAUAAUAUAACUUUAGGAGUCAAGCAAAUACAUUGAUUUUAUUUAGAUACCCUCCACCCAUCUUAAAGAAAUGAACUACAAACGAUUAUUUGCUAUUUCCUUAAGGGAGAUGGAAGGCACUGAUUUCCUGGAAGGUUGUGCCAUCAUGUUGUAUGCAGUUUGCGUUGUCGUAAAUAAGGCGUAGGAACGGAUGCUAUUAUUGUGAAUGCUGGGACGACUGGGACAAAAAAAUUUAAUAAAUUAUUUAAAUGUAAAAUUUACGCAAAAAAACAUGUUUGUAUACCAUUUAUCCUAUCAUUUUUUUCCAUUAUAUAUUGCUUGAGAAAAAAUCAUAU
Long non-coding RNA from Gordionus sp. m RMFG-2023, 384 nucleotides. RefSeq lists it as uncharacterized. The record is from RefSeq and is a predicted model, not a curated record. The transcript is spliced from 3 exons. Lineage: Eukaryota; Metazoa; Nematomorpha; Gordioida; Chordodea; Parachordodidae.